ACCUAAUGGCAAACAAGGAAACACAGCAGGACAAGUCAGGCCUUAUUUGCAUUUUUAUCACCCAGCAUCCCCAUGUGACCAUUUCAGCCAUGUUGGUUAAACAUUCAUGGAAGUUGUGAGUGUAGAGGCACUGAAAUGUCAUUGUCCUUAGCGUGGGACCCAAGGGCAAGAGACCUGCAGAGAUUAUGCUCUGGGGUGAGGGGUCACCCUAAACAGAAAGUCAUUUUUGCGUUCUUGGCUAGUGGCAUAGUCAUCCCACAACAGGAAGUUGGUUUCAUGGUUUGAAGAGAGGACCACAGAUAGGGAUGAUUGUGCUCAAGGGGCCUCUAUGCCAGUGAUUUUUUUUCUUGUAAUAACUUAGCAGGAGCUGUAUGGUGGUAAGAAAUGACCCCUGGCUGGCUCUUGAUUGAUGCUGUAGGGGACAGUAAUAGAUGUGAUUGGACUCUGGGUUUCAACCAUUCCCUUGUGCUAAGGGGUUCUGCCACAAAGGGGAGUCAUCAAGUUUAAUGACCCUCCUUUGCCUUUGGGCUGGGAGAUACCUGACACAGUCCUGGCAACACAGGGCUGAUUCCACAUCCCAGAGGCAUUCCACGACACAGCAAUUUCCUAGGAUCACCCAGCACAGACCAACAGGCCCAUCUAGCCCAGUAUCCCGCCUUUGUCUCUGCCCUGCUCUAGCCCAUUAGGUCACGUUCCCCCUUCCUCAAAGACUUUCUUUUCCUUCUCUGCUGCCAUCAGUUUUUGGGUUAAAAUUUGGGUUUCUCUUGAAAAGCCACUUUUAGUUGUGGGGAAAAAAAUUUGACUGACCCCAGACAGCCCCUCAACAGGCUCACCUGCUUCAUUCUCUCCUCUCACACAGGUAGCGCCCCAUGUGUAACAGCCUCCUAGUAUUUACCCACAAUACCCUUUGACUAAGGCUGUUAAUCUGUGGAUUGGAGGUGAGAGAGGACCCAGGGUGUAGGCUGAGCAGCGUGGAAAGAGGAACUCUAGAAGCAGCUGGGUCUCAGGAGAAGCAGUGCCCCUCGAGGAACUACGACCCCAGCAGGACUCAGCUCCUGCCUCACUGCCCCCAGCCGUCGGUCUGCAGCUGCGUAGAGAAGAGCCCCUUGCCACGUGGGCUGGGUGUUGCCCCGGCUGCGGGACGACGCCAGAGAUGGGAAUUGCAGCGCAGUGGAGCCUAUAAGGCUGGCCUGCUUGCUUGUCUGCCUGCCUUUUCUUAUGGGUUUCCUCUGGGUUGAUUGUUUGUUUCACUGUACUAGGUUUCUAGGUUUAUAUUAGAAUAUUUUUGGCUGUAACGCGAGGAACGUACGGGCCACAUCCGGGAUGCGGAGCCAAGGCACAGGUAGCGAAAACCUGUUCUAGACCUUUCACCUACUUGGCUGAUAAGCUAAAGCGCACGCUCCGUAUAUGGUGGUGACUUUGAACACACCUAAGUGAGGAUGAGUUGAAGCAAGUUAGUAUGGGGGGGAGGUACCUAUGUCCAGAUGCUCUUUAAACGUAACAGGCAGACGGCAAAGAACGUGGGGAGAACCGGUUAGGCCAGAAAUAGCAGAGGUGAGACUGAGCUAAUGGCAUUGGUAGGUCCGUACGUGGCAUUACUACGUACAAACCUUCCAGCCUAGGGAGUAACCGUAUCCUGAUACUUUGUGGAAACUAUCUCAGGUGCUCAAGCUCUCUGGAAGGGGUGACCCGCCAGGCUGGAGUCGUUCUCGCUCUUCAUUGUUAGUUUGUCUUAGUCCCUCACCAAAGGCUCUUACGUAAAUUAAGCUGUCAUGGGAUAAAAGGGAAGGUCCUUUCAUGGGCUGAGAAAUGGUAAACUCAGGUAUACAGGGUAAACUCAUACAUUGUUUGCCCUCUAGACCACUGAUAGAGAGAUAUGCACAGCUGUUUCCCUCUACCCCCUGCAGGUAUUAAUCCACACUCUGAGUCAAUUAAUAAGUAAAAAGUGAUUUUAUUAAGUACAGAAAGUAGGAUUUAAGUGGUUCCAAGUAGUAACGGACAGAACAAAGUGAAUUACCCAGUAAAAUAAAAUAAAACACGUAAAUCUAAA
Long non-coding RNA from Gopherus flavomarginatus (Mexican gopher tortoise), 2050 nucleotides. RefSeq lists it as uncharacterized. The transcript has 2 exons. NCBI's taxonomy places the organism in Eukaryota, Metazoa, Chordata, Testudines, Testudinidae. The record is from RefSeq and is a predicted model, not a curated record.